GCAAUGCCGCGUGAGUGAAGAAGGCCUUCGGGUUGUAAAGCUCUUUUGUCAGGGAAGAAACGGUAUCUCCUAAUACGGGGUGCUAAUGACGGUACCUGAAGAAUAAGCACCGGCUAACUACGUGCCAGCAGCCGCGGUAAUACGUAGGGUGCAAGCGUUAAUCGGAAUUACUGGGCGUAAAGCGUGCGCAGGCGGUUAUAUAAGUCAGAUGUGAAAUCCCCGGGCUCAACCUGGGAACUGCAUUUGAGACUGUAUGGCUAGAGUGUGUCAGAGGGGGGUAGAAUUCCACGUGUAGCAGUGAAAUGCGUAGAUAUGUGGAGGAAUACCGAUGGCGAAGGCAGCCCCCUGGGAUAACACUGACGCUCAUGCACGAAAGCGUGGGGAGCAAACAGGAUUAGAUACCCUGGUAGUCCACGCCCUAAACGAUGUCUACUAGUUGUCGGGACUUAAUUGUCUUGGUAACGCAGCUAAC
RNAcentral lists this ribosomal RNA (472 nucleotides) under Undibacterium sp. Its description in RNAcentral is "bacterial SSU rRNA". It matches the Rfam family "Bacterial small subunit ribosomal RNA", at positions 391 to 856 of the family's 1533-position model. Lineage: Bacteria; Pseudomonadati; Pseudomonadota; Betaproteobacteria; Burkholderiales; Oxalobacteraceae. The record is from RNAcentral.